This 96-nucleotide transfer RNA is filed under the name Planosporangium mesophilum. RNAcentral describes it as "tRNA-Sec". It matches the Rfam family "Selenocysteine transfer RNA". Lineage: Bacteria; Bacillati; Actinomycetota; Actinomycetes; Micromonosporales; Micromonosporaceae. The record is from RNAcentral.
GGAGGCGUUCGGGCGGCUGGUGCCCCCCACGGUCUUCAAAACCGAUGUGACCCGGGAUCCGGGUCAGGCGGGUUCGAUUCCCGUCCGCCUCCGCCA